Molecule: small nucleolar RNA, 133 nt
Organism: Perognathus longimembris pacificus (Pacific pocket mouse)
Lineage: Eukaryota; Metazoa; Chordata; Mammalia; Rodentia; Heteromyidae
Product: small nucleolar RNA SNORA42/SNORA80 family
Exons: 1
Source: RefSeq, a predicted model, not a curated record
GCAUGGGUUGGAUUUAUGGCAGGCCCGUCCCCUUGGGCCUUUCAUAGUGUCCCACUCCAGAGCAAAUUGUGGUCCCCAACCAUUGCCUAACCUCUGCCUGCAGGCUAAUGGCACCGAAGGGGAUUAUACAGAG